RNAcentral lists this long non-coding RNA (382 nucleotides) under Citrus sinensis (sweet orange). RNAcentral's name for it is "long non-coding RNA (CSIN_LNC004084)". The record is from RNAcentral. Lineage: Eukaryota; Viridiplantae; Streptophyta; Magnoliopsida; Sapindales; Rutaceae.
AGUGAUGAGUAGAAUGAACAUGCCACCUAUGAUGUUGCCAAUGGCAAUGCAACAACAACUUCAGAUGUCUAUGUUGAGUUCAAUGGGCAUGGGGAUGGGUAUGGGCAUGGGGAUGGGUGUGAUGGACAUGAACUCCAUGAGCCGCCCAAACAUUACCAGCAUGCCACCAUUGCUUCAUCCUUUCUUGCCUUUGGCCUCAUGGGAUGGCUUGGGUGACCGGCUACAAGCUUCCCCAAUGACAGACCCGUUAUCCACAUUCCUUGCUUGCCAACCGCAGGUAGGCUGAUUGAAGUUUUACAAUGCGUAUAUAUAAUUAACUCUUCUGAGUUGAAGUGAUCGUUGUGAUCUUGUAAGUAUAUAAAUCUGUGCGUGUGUUUCUGAC